UAGGUAGAGGUUUCAGAGGAGUAUUUUGGAGUCAGUGGUGCAGGCAGUACAGACGGGUUGGGUCCAUCCAAAUACUUUAAUUGAAAAUUAACCUCAAUUUUACAUCUUCAAUUUCACUUGAAAACCUCGAGGACAUUGAGAAAG
Molecule: long non-coding RNA, 144 nt
Organism: Papaver somniferum (opium poppy)
Lineage: Eukaryota; Viridiplantae; Streptophyta; Magnoliopsida; Ranunculales; Papaveraceae
Exons: 3
Source: RefSeq, a predicted model, not a curated record